Centrocercus urophasianus (Greater sage-grouse) is the source of this 1219-nucleotide long non-coding RNA. RefSeq lists it as uncharacterized. The record is from RefSeq and is a predicted model, not a curated record. Lineage: Eukaryota; Metazoa; Chordata; Aves; Galliformes; Phasianidae. The transcript has 3 exons.
UGAAGGUCUGACUGCAGCGACCUCCUGCACAGCUCACACCACCAAAUCUCAGUCCUCCGAGAAGAACCCGAGGGCAGGUGAGACGUUCAUUCAGCUCUCUGCUGUCUUUCAGGCUUGAUCCGGCUCCCACUGAGAGAUAUGAAAUUGCUUCAACAGAAACAGGACCUGACCUUAACCGAGAGACGAGCCAGGACCUGGAGCAGCCCCAGCGCGUGACACAGGCACAGACAUGCCAGCACCACCUCCUCACCCUGCCCUGCUUUGUGCUGCAGUCAGUCCCGGGAGAAAAUAGAAAUCCAUCACAGUGAGCAGAGCAGAGGCUUGGCUCGGUAGCGUCAUUUAAUGCCUGAUAAUCCCUCAUCCCAAUUUGCUUGAAUUUAUUAGGUGUCCCUGGAAACAGGUGUGAUGGAAAUACCAUGGAAACGUGAGACAAGUGGAGCCAUCAGUUCACAGCCUCUCCGGCAGCAGUUUCAUCAGGGAGAGCAGAGCUGACAUCACGUGGGCACCUCCCUUUCCUCUCUCCAUCUUCAUGUCGAGAGCCCAAAGACAGCCCCGCGCCGAGCCUAGGGGGCACUUUUCAUCAGGACUGGAGUGGGAAUUGUGUCCACAACUGUCGGUGCCAACAGUCAUCCCAAAGUAACCCCAAUGUGGGCAGAAAGGGGCAGAUUAAACUGCCUGAGAUAAGCUGCUUGCGUCUGGAGACACCCAGUGGGGUGUUGCUUCCCUCUCCCCAGCCCUCACGCUUCAGCAGUGCCACUUGGCUCAGAUAAUUUACUUUUAAUAGUCUGGUUACAAAUGAGAUUGCAAAGGAAGCACGUGAUUCUGCACUGGGAUUUCUGAGUCACAUUCUCAUUUCCCCCUCGUGCCUCCUAGGCCUCUAAUAAACUACAAAGAGACAUUAAGAAAACAAUAAGAACUCUUUAUCUAUUGAGACUGGGGAACAGGAACAGUGAGCCAGCAGUAAUGGAUUCUGUGUAUCUGCAGUACGUCCCUGCAGCAGCGACCGAACGAGGGGAACGGGAAGUUCGAGUGCUCAGGACAUGGAGAGCCCGGAUCAGCUGGCCAGCAGAGGGUAGAAAGCAGGUUUCUGCAGCGACCCACGAAACGUGUUCUCCCUGCUUGACCCAUCCCACCGCGUUUCUGACUGCGCUUGGACGUGGUGGAGGUUGGUAGCAUUGAGCUCAGAUUCCAGUCAAGAAAUUUGAAAUUGGAUUUGAGG